Molecule: ribosomal RNA, 301 nt
Filed under: uncultured bacterium
Lineage: Bacteria
Description: partial 16S ribosomal RNA
Rfam family: Bacterial small subunit ribosomal RNA
Source: RNAcentral
CAGUCGCCGCGGGAAUACGAAGGGGGCUAGCGUUGUUCGGAUUUACUGGGCGUAAAGCGCACGUAGGCGGACUUUUAAGUCAGGGGUGAAAUCCCGGGGCUCAACCCCGGAACUGCCUUUGAUACUGGGAGUCUUGAGUUCGAGAGAGGUGAGUGGAGUUGCGAGUGUAGAGGUGAAAUUCGUAGAUAUUCGCAGGAACACCAGUGGCGAAGGCGGCUCACUGGCUCGAUACUGACGCUGAGGUGCGAAAGCGUGGGGAGCAAACAGGAUUAGAUACCCCCGUAGUCCCUGUCUCUUAUAC